GACGAACGCUGGCGGCGUGCUUAACACAUGCAAGUCGAACGGCAAGGCACUGCUUUUGUGGGGUGCUCGAGUGGCGAACGGGGGAGUAACACGUGAGUAACCUGCCCUUGACUUUGGGAUAACUUCAGGAAACUGGGGCUAAUACCGGAUAGGAGCUCCUGCUGCAUGGUGGGGGGGGGAAAGUUUCGGCGGUUGGGGCUGGACGCGCGGCUUAUCAGCUUGUUGGUGGGGUAGUGGCUUACCAAGGCUUUGACGGGUAGCCGGCCUGAGAGGGUGAACGGCCACAUUGGGACUGAGAUACGGCCCAGACUCCUACGGUAGGCAGCAGUGGGGAAUAUUGCACAAUGGGCGGAAGCCUGAUGCAGCAACGCUGCGUGCGGGAUGACGUCCUUCGGGGUGUAAACCGCUUUCGCCUGUGACGAAGCGUGAGUGACGGUAAUGGGUAAAGAAGCACCGGCUAACUACGUG
This 468-nucleotide ribosomal RNA is filed under the name uncultured bacterium. Its description in RNAcentral is "partial 16S ribosomal RNA". It matches the Rfam family "Bacterial small subunit ribosomal RNA", at positions 28 to 507 of the family's 1533-position model. The record is from RNAcentral.